AAACAUUGAUGUUUAACAGAAAUUGACUCUUUUGCUUGAAGGUUGGAGACUACAUGAGACUUUGACAGAUGGCGGGAAACCCUUCUCAACUGGUAGAGGAAACCUUGAGGCUGAUACACGGGCCACGUUAUAGGUCUUUUUGCGAAGAAGUGCCAGAUCAGAGGACAUCAUUGACUGUAGUAGGGCUGGGACAUAGACCUUGUUCGUUAGUAAGUCAGGAUGAACUUUGGAUGAAGCAGGAACCCGUAACAUGUUUACAUAGUGAAUCCUGUUAGCACGCGGACGCAAGGGCUUAGCUUGGGUUUGAGAGCCGUCUACAUCCCGAAAGGUUGGAGACUACAUGAGACUUUGACAGAUGGCGGGAAACCCUUCUCAACUGGUACGAAGCCGGUAAAUAGAUGGCCAUAAAACAGUGACCGCUGAUUCGCGUUGAGUUCUUUCUUGCAUAACGUAUGACCCCC
Molecule: long non-coding RNA, 461 nt
Organism: Dreissena polymorpha
Lineage: Eukaryota; Metazoa; Mollusca; Bivalvia; Myida; Dreissenidae
Exons: 4
Source: RefSeq, a predicted model, not a curated record